Molecule: ribosomal RNA, 129 nt
Filed under: Alcaligenaceae bacterium
Lineage: Bacteria; Pseudomonadati; Pseudomonadota; Betaproteobacteria; Burkholderiales; Alcaligenaceae
Description: partial 23S ribosomal RNA
Rfam family: Bacterial large subunit ribosomal RNA (bases 1-116)
Source: RNAcentral
CCGGGGCCUAGAGCCCCCUGAAGGGUCGUUCGAGACCAGGACGUUGAUAGGCUGGGUGUGGAAGUGCAGUAAUGCAUGGAGCUAACCAGUACUAAUUGCCCGUGCGGCUUGAUCCUAUAACUCAAUAAG